Molecule: ribosomal RNA, 253 nt
Filed under: uncultured bacterium
Lineage: Bacteria
Description: partial 16S ribosomal RNA
Rfam family: Bacterial small subunit ribosomal RNA
Source: RNAcentral
UACGAAGGGGGCUAGCGUUGUUCGGAAUCACUGGGUGUAAAGCGCACGUAGGCGGAUCUUUAAGUCAGGGGUGAAAUCCCGGGGCUCAACCUCGGAACUGCCUUUGAUACUGGAGAUCUUGAGUCCGGAAGAGGUAAGUGGAACUGCGAGUGUAGAGGUGAAAUUCGUAGAUAUUCGCAAGAACACCAGUGGCGAAGGCGGCUUACUGGUCCGGAACUGACGCUGAGGUGCGAAAGCGUGGGGAGCAAACAGG